Molecule: ribosomal RNA, 305 nt
Filed under: uncultured bacterium
Lineage: Bacteria
Description: bacterial SSU rRNA
Rfam family: Bacterial small subunit ribosomal RNA
Source: RNAcentral
CCUACGGGAGGCAGCAGUGGGGAAUAUUGCACAAUGGGGGGAACCCUGAUGCAGCGACGCCGCGUGAGUGAAGAAGUAUCUCGGUACGUAAAGCUCUAUCAGCAGGGAAGAAAAUGACGGUACCUGACUAAGAAGCCCCGGCUAAAUACGUGCCAGCAGCCGCGGUAAUACGUAUGGGGCAAGCGUUAUCCGGAUUUACUGGGUGUAAAGGGAGCGCAGGCGGCCUGGCAAGCCUGAUGUGAAAUACCGGGGCCCAACCCCGGGGCUGCAUUGGGAACUGCCAGGCUGGAGGGCCGGAGAGGCAG